CACCCGCCGCACUACGUCGCUGGCUACCAUGCAGUCGAGGGGCAGCAUAUAGAUUGCUUGCAAUUUAUGAUGGCGACCGGCGCACGGGUGAGUAACGCGUAUCCAACCUACCCAUUACUAGGGAAUAACCCAGCGAAAGUUGGCCUAAUGCCCUAUGUAGUCGUUUGAUCGCCUGAGAUUUCGACGAAAGAUUUAUCGGUAUUGGAUGGGGAUGCGUCUGAUUAGCUUGUUGGCGGGGUAAAGGCCCACCAAGGCAACGAUCAGUAGGGGUUCUGAGAGGAAGGUCCCCCACAUUGGAACUGAGACACGGUCCAAACUCCUACGGGAGGCAGCAGUGAGGAAUAUUGGUCAAUGGGCGAGAGCCUGAACCAGCCAAGUAGCGUGCAGGAUGACGGCCCUAUGGGUUGUAAACUGCUUUUAUAUGGGAAUAAAGUGAGGGACGUGUCCCUUAUUGCAUGUACCAUACGAAUAAGGACCGGCUAAUUCCGUGCCAGCAGCGGCCGGUAAU
RNAcentral lists this ribosomal RNA (508 nucleotides) under Prevotella sp. 3-2. RNAcentral describes it as "bacterial SSU rRNA". It matches the Rfam family "Bacterial small subunit ribosomal RNA", at positions 39 to 524 of the family's 1533-position model. Lineage: Bacteria; Pseudomonadati; Bacteroidota; Bacteroidia; Bacteroidales; Prevotellaceae. The record is from RNAcentral.